RNAcentral lists this ribosomal RNA (200 nucleotides) under uncultured bacterium. RNAcentral's name for it is "partial 16S ribosomal RNA". It matches the Rfam family "Bacterial small subunit ribosomal RNA", at positions 8 to 223 of the family's 1533-position model. The record is from RNAcentral.
AGAGUUUGAUCCUGGCUCAGAACGAACGCUGGCGGCAUGCUUAACACAUGCAAGUCGAACGCUCCGCAAGGAGAGUGGCGCACGGGUGAGUAACGCGUGGGAACCUGCCUCUUGGUUUGGAAUAACUGCGGGAAACUGCAGCUAAUACCGGAUACGCCGGGUGCUCGUGGAGGGUGCCUGGGAAAGAUUUAUCGCCGAGA